RNAcentral lists this long non-coding RNA (1208 nucleotides) under Solanum tuberosum (potato). RNAcentral's name for it is "long non-coding RNA (STUB_LNC011286)". Lineage: Eukaryota; Viridiplantae; Streptophyta; Magnoliopsida; Solanales; Solanaceae. The record is from RNAcentral.
CAACAUGCUGAUGCUCUAUCAUCCCAUUGGAAGUUGUAAUUACUGCGCAUAUAAAGGGAAAAAGUGUGGAAAGAGAAAACGUAAAGUUAGCAUGUGCUCAGAAAAUAGGAGACAGACAAACUGGGGGCAUGAAGUAGACAACAACAACUACGCCACAGUCCAAACUUAAAAAGAUAGUUUGGUCUCACCACUAAAAGGAUAAGCGCUUCAGCAAGCAACACGAGAUACAUUAUCAGCCGAGUGCUGUUCCUGCAAUUUAGUAGCAGUCUGCACUUCAAGUUUUGACAAGAAAAGUAGUUUGCACUUCAAUAUCUUUAGUAGCUAGCAUGAACAAAUAUAUACUAGGCUGAUUUAUUUUCUUGCAGCUACUGAAUAUUCAACAUAAAAUCUUUCUUUUUCAUGAUUAGUGAUACUCCACAGCUACUACCACCAUUUUGGACAUCCUUUAUUUUAUUCUUGACUUUCAAAACAAGAAGUUAUUGUCAUGCUUAAGCUCCUCAAAGAAGGGUGUCGUUAAGGAUCUUCUGGACAGAAAUGAAGCCCCGACUUAUUUGACUGUAAAGUCCGAGCCUAAAAUUACACAGAGCAUCAGUAAAAGAUCAGAUUCCCUACAAUCAAUUGACAUCAAAGUUCUUACAUGUUUAUAGAUCCAACUAGUCACCCAUUUUUAUUAUAAGUAGUCAGCAAUUAGUAUAUUAAUUCACACUUGUCGUCACUACGUUAAACGUACUGACAUGAUUUAAGUAAUAUUAUUCGCUUUUAUAUGUUUACCUAAAUAACUCACAAUCUAGGAUAUCACAAGGCUGGAUCAAGAUCUAUAGCUUAUGAGGAAAGGAGAAAGUUAUCAUCCACCAUUCAUGUUCAGUUUUAGUUACAACUGUACUUGAAUAAGUGUCCUCUUCUUGAAUUAAAUAGCAACAUUUUUGAGUUCUUCCACUAAAUAGUCUACCAACUCCUAUCUUAAAACAAAAAAAUCAGAAGUAAAUAAAACAAAUGAUUGUAGAAUGCCAAUCAUCUUCAAAGCAGUUAAAUAAGAUUUUCUUGAAUGUUAUGCAAUGGUUCAAUAACGUACACGAAUUUGCAGUAAACUUACCAUUUUCAGAUAUAAUCCAGUACCACCCGCAGCUUUUGGAACACGGUCCACACCACAGAUAUAUCUGGUACUUCGCCUUGCAUCCGCAAAUAGAAUGUCCAACAGGAUAUUGAAA